Molecule: long non-coding RNA, 1442 nt
Organism: Asparagus officinalis (garden asparagus)
Lineage: Eukaryota; Viridiplantae; Streptophyta; Magnoliopsida; Asparagales; Asparagaceae
Exons: 2
Source: RefSeq, a predicted model, not a curated record
UGGGGGGAUGUAUCAUCAAAUAAUCCAAAAUUUUAACGAUGAGGUUUCAUAUAUAGCCUAUAUUGAAUCUCUGUUUCCUGGUGCAAAAUAUGACUCAUAGCCGAGUGGGAUCACACACUCCUGUAACUCUAUUCUCUAUAUAAUCUACGGAGCAAUCUGACAAAAGAACGUUCUCAGAUGCUAAAAAAAAGCAUUACUAGAUGAUAAAAUUGGCUUAGGAUCGCAUCAUCAGCUGUAAAGAUUACGUGUGGUUGAUUAAAGUUAUCUUGGAGUCUUAAUAUGAGAAUUAAAAAUUAAACAAAUCGGGUUGUGUUGUAUGCGGUUCCUCUCUCUGUUUUAUUAUACCUUUUGCUGAAGCGACUCUUUGUAUGUUUCAGUCUGCCAUGUUUGAAUUAUAAUCCUUAAGAUUCUGAAGCUGCUAAUUAGUUAAUUGAUUAAGAGAUUACAACUUCUCUAAUUGCGACAACUCGAUUAAUUUCUUAACGUCGUACAUUUUGGAGCUACCUUCUGAAACAUGUGUAGUAAGGUAUUCCAUAAAUGUACGAAGAGAAAUAGAUUCAUAUAUUGUUCCUCUUUGGUGUUUGCUCGAUUGCUUUAUUCUGAAGCAUAAUUAUAUGGUUCACAAAUUUGACUCCAUAAUAAUUAUCUUGAUGUAUCUAGUUAUUCUAAUAACUACAAACAAAUGUGCUUAUGUAUCCACAAAAAAAAAUCCAUUUUGUUGUCAUAAACCGUGGUUUCGUGUCUAUUCUUGAGUUUCUUACAUAAAUUAUCAUAUACCGUGGUUUUGUGUCAUUACCUGUCCUCCAUUAUGAUUAAUGUUAACUCAUUUCCUUUUUCGUAAGUUUCCCUGGCUGGAGAAUUCCUACCAUUUCAUGAAGAUUUGAUGGCUCAUCAUUGUUAAGUUGUUUAUAUUGACUGGAGUUUUCUCAAAUUCUAGCCAUAUUAUCCAUUUUGUUGGGAAAUAAUUCAGAUUUCAACAGUUUACUCGUACUUAUGAUAGCAUUUCUUGUUUAGCUUGCAUCCAUAUUAAUAUUGUCAUAUGUGCAACAUAUUCCAUACUUUAUUUGUCAAUUAUUAGAUCAUGCAAGUUCCUAAGUAACAACCACUUACGGUUGCUUAUAAUACCUGUGAAAUUUUUUUACUUUGUUAUGAGAUCUGCUAUUUCAGGAGAGGGACUGGAGGUGCUACAUGCUCACCGAAUCAUUCAUCGCGAUCUCAAACCUGAGGAUGAUGAGGAAGAAGGUGAAGAAGGAGAAGAAGAGGGCUUGAGUAAAUGUAUAGGGAAGGAGUUGAAGAAGUGUCUGCAGUGUCAUAGUCAUUGUAAAUAAUUUAUGUAAAAACUACUCAAUAAUUUAUGUAUCUCUCUACUAUUUUGGUGAAUGUAUUAUUUGAAUAUAAUGGGAUUUGAUAUUAGAAUAUAAUUAGAUUGUGUUGGAUAUGAA